Non-coding RNA from Tachysurus vachellii, 79 nucleotides. The record is from the annotation of a RefSeq genome assembly. Lineage: Eukaryota; Metazoa; Chordata; Actinopteri; Siluriformes; Bagridae.
GACGAGGUGGCCGAGAUAAGGUGAUGGACUGCUAAUCCAUUGUGCUCUGCACGUGUGGGUUCGAAUCCCGUCCUCGUCG